RNAcentral lists this ribosomal RNA (456 nucleotides) under uncultured Sphingobacteriales bacterium. Its description in RNAcentral is "bacterial SSU rRNA". It matches the Rfam family "Bacterial small subunit ribosomal RNA", at positions 925 to 1382 of the family's 1533-position model. Lineage: Bacteria; Pseudomonadati; Bacteroidota; Sphingobacteriia; Sphingobacteriales. The record is from RNAcentral.
ACAAGCGGAGGAGCAUGUGGUUUAAUUCGAUGAUACGCGAGGAACCUUACCUGGGCUCGAACGUAAGAUGACUGUAGGUGAAAGCUUACAUCUCUUCGGAGCAUUUUACGAGGUGCUGCACGGUUGUCGUCAGCUCGUGCCGUGAGGUGUCGGGUUAAGUCCCAUAACGAGCGCAACCCCUACCUUAGUUGCCAUCAGGUUAAGCUGGGGACUCUAAAGGAACUGCCUACGCAAGUAGUGAGGAAGGCGGGGAUGACGUCAAAUCAGCACGGCCCUUACGUCCAGGGCUACACACGUGCUACAAUGGCCGAUACAGAGGGCAGCUACCUGGUGACAGGAUGCAAAUCUCCAAAGUCGGUCUCAGUUCGGAUCGGAGUCUGCAACCCGACUCCGUGAAGUUGGAUUCGCUAGUAAUCGCGCAUCAGCCAUGGCGCGGUGAAUACGUUCCCGGGCCUU